Molecule: long non-coding RNA, 260 nt
Filed under: Elaeis guineensis (African oil palm)
Lineage: Eukaryota; Viridiplantae; Streptophyta; Magnoliopsida; Arecales; Arecaceae
Description: long non-coding RNA (EGUI_LNC033467)
Source: RNAcentral
UUUGCUAGGGAUCAGAUCUUCCUCCUACCGACGUGUGAUCCAGCCCUCUUCAGCCUGCAUAUGCUUAUAGGCCCAGGCUAGGAGGUUGGUAUAGUCCCUCGGAUAGAUCUUGUCAAGGGAGUAGAUGAGGCGCUCAUUGUAGAGGCCUCACUUCAGCACCGACAUGGCAAUGCCUUCAUCCAGACUGCACACCUCCAGUGUGGCUAUGUUGAAACAUGCCACAUAAUCGCACAGAGAUUCUCUCUCUUCCUGAUGGAGGG